GGAGAUCCCCUAGGUGGGCAUACUCUGUUAUAUCUGUUUCCUGACCUCCAAGACCCUUGCUCUGUAGACAGGAGCGUUCUAACCCAGGGCAGGUUUUGAGCUCUGAGAAGUGUGAUGGAUAAUCACAGAUUUAGGAGACCAGACUGAGAGGUCAAGCCCCUGAGCUGUAUGAUGGAGCACAGAGGAGCUAGGGGCGCGGCCUGUGGAGAAGAAUAGCAUCGCCCUUCACAGCCUCCAGACCCAGUUUCUCAGAGGCCAUGGAAGAUGCAUGGUAGCCUCCUGCUAACAUGUCCACAGUAGCUGGCAUCUCAAAGGCCUAGCCCCAACACACUGAUUCCCUAAGGUUAUGUGUGGUUAUAUGUGUGUCUUUGUUUAUGUGCUAGUGUUGCGCCAGGUCGCCUGAAACUCUUAAUCUUCCUCAUGGUCCUGGCAGCUUAUAAGAUUACAUGUGUUAGCCUUUCUUCUAGCCUCUAUGUACCCAUGUGUACACGGGUCACAUGAGCUGAACUCAUUCAGGUGUGCACACAGACACACUAAGUCUUCACACGAUAUCUUAUUUGUGUAUCUUAUGGGACACAGUACAUUAAUCUUACAUAUAUAAACAUGUAUGAUAAAGGGGGAGUGCUUUUAGUCUAUAAGUGGCACACCACAAAACCUCUCAAAGCAGUGGCUGGCUCCUCCUUCCCACCCCAGCCUACAGCCAAAGUAAAAUGCCACUUCAGGAAUUGUUAAAAAUGGCAGCUCCUGUCAAAAUGGCCCCAACAGGACAUCUCAGCCAACAGCCAGCACUGGAGCCUUUCCCACCUCAGCAAGAGAGGCCCCUCAGGAGCUAUCCAUGGCCUACCACACCUCCUCUCAGCCUCUCUGAGCAGCCCCACAGACGUGGAGCAAAAGCCAGCUGAAGCCAGGAAGGACUCCCUAGCCUGACCCUUGGAUGCAAUGCAGGGAAAAGUGGGUGAAAAAGGCCACCAAUCCCUGAGCUCCCAAGCUUAGGAUGUGAGUCCUUGCAAGCAAGCCGCAGCCUUUCCUGGAUUCAUCCAUCCCUUCUCCUCCAGGAUUCUCCCCUUUAAUAAAUCUCCUUUAUGAGUC
RNAcentral lists this long non-coding RNA (1089 nucleotides) under Mus musculus (house mouse). RNAcentral's name for it is "long non-coding RNA chr5:121503512-121504601". Lineage: Eukaryota; Metazoa; Chordata; Mammalia; Rodentia; Muridae. The record is from RNAcentral.